GGAUCCAGACUUUGAUUAUGGCUCAGGAUGAACGCUAGCUACAGGCUUAACACAUGCAAGUCGAGGGGCAGCGGGAUUGAAGCUUGCUUCAAUUGCCGGCGACCGGCGCACGGGUGAGUAACGCGUAUCCAACCUUCCGUACACUCAGGGAUAGCCUUUCGAAAGAAAGAUUAAUACCUGAUAGUAUCUUAAGCACACAUGUAAUUAAGAUUAAAGAUUUAUCGGUGUACGAUGGGGAUGCGUUCCAUUAGGUAGCAGGCGGGGUAACGGCCCACCUAGCCAACGAUGGAUAGGGGUUCUGAGAGGAAGGUCCCCCACAUUGGAACUGAGACACGGUCCAAACUCCUACGGGAGGCAGCAGUGAGGAAUAUUGGUCAAUGGACGAGAGUCUGAACCAGCCAAGUAGCGUGAAGGAUGAAGGUCCUACGGAUUGUAAACUUCUUUUAUAAGGGAAUAAACCCUCCCACGUGUGGGAGCUUGUAUGUACCUUAUGAAUAAGCAUCGGCUAACUCCGUGCCAGCAGCCGCGGUAAUACGGAGGAUGCGAGCGUUAUCCGGAUUUAUUGGGUUUAAAGGGAGCGCAGACGGGUCGUUAAGUCAGCUGUGAAAGUUUGGGGCUCAACCUUAAAAUUGCAGUUGAUACUGGCGUCCUUGAGUGCGGUUGAGGUGUGCGGAAUUCGUGGUGUAGCGGUGAAAUGCUUAGAUAUCACGAAGAACUCCGAUUGCGAAGGCAGCACACUAAUCCGUAACUGACGUUCAUGCUCGAAAGUGUGGGUAUCAAACAGGAUUAGAUACCCUGGUAGUCCACACGGUAAACGAUGGAUACUCGCUGUUGGCGAUAUACUGUCAGCGGCUUAGCGAAAGCGUUAAGUAUCCCACCUGGGGAGUACGCCGGCAACGGUGCAACUCAA
Molecule: ribosomal RNA, 910 nt
Filed under: uncultured Bacteroidota bacterium
Lineage: Bacteria; Pseudomonadati; Bacteroidota
Description: bacterial SSU rRNA
Rfam family: Bacterial small subunit ribosomal RNA
Source: RNAcentral